RNAcentral lists this ribosomal RNA (395 nucleotides) under uncultured bacterium. Its description in RNAcentral is "bacterial SSU rRNA". It matches the Rfam family "Bacterial small subunit ribosomal RNA", at positions 505 to 898 of the family's 1533-position model. The record is from RNAcentral.
GUGUCAGCAGCCGCGGUAAUACGUAGGAUGCAAGCGUUAUCCGGAAUUAUUGGGCGUAAAGAGUUUGUAGGUGGUUUGUUAAGUUAAAUGUUAAAUCUCAGGGCUCAACUCUGGGGCUGCAUUUAAUACUGGCAGACUCGAGGUAUGGAGAGGUAAGCGGAAUUAGUAGUGUAGCGGUGAAAUGCGUAGAUAUUACUAAGAACACCAAUGGCGAAGGCAGCUUACUGGCCAUAUCCUGACACUGAGAAACGAAAGCGUGGGGAGCGAACAGGAUUAGAUACCCUGGUAGUCCACGCCGUAAACGAUGAUCACUAGCUGUUCGGGGAGUCGACCCCCUGAGUAGUGUAGCUAACGCGUUAAGUGAUCCGCCUGGGGAGUACGGUCGCAAGGCUAAA